CCUACGGGGGGCAGCAGUGGGGAAUAUUGGACAAUGGGGGCAACCCUGAUCCAGCCAUGCCGCGUGUGUGAAGAAGGCCCUCGGGUUGUAAAGCACUUUCAGUGAGGAAGAACGCCUGGUGGUUAAUACCCAUCAGGAAAGACAUCACUCACAGAAGAAGCACCGGCUAACUCCGUGCCAGCAGCCGCGGUAAUACGGAGGGUGCGAGCGUUAAUCGGAAUUACUGGGCGUAAAGCGCGCGUAGGUGGCUUGAUAAGCCGGUUGUGAAAGCCCCGGGCUCAACCUGGGAACGGCAUCCGGAACUGUCAAGCUAGAGUGAAGGAGAGGAAGGUAGAAUUCCCGGUGUAGCGGUGAAAUGCGUAGAGAUCGGGAGGAAUACCAGUGGCGAAGGCGGCCUUCUGGACUGACACUGACACUGAGGUGCGAAAGCGUGGGUAGCAAACAGGAUUAGAUACCCGAGUAGUC
This 465-nucleotide ribosomal RNA is filed under the name Vreelandella stevensii. RNAcentral describes it as "partial 16S ribosomal RNA". It matches the Rfam family "Bacterial small subunit ribosomal RNA", at positions 338 to 795 of the family's 1533-position model. Lineage: Bacteria; Pseudomonadati; Pseudomonadota; Gammaproteobacteria; Oceanospirillales; Halomonadaceae. The record is from RNAcentral.